GAGGGGCAGCGGGGUUGUAGCAAUACAACUGCCCUCGACCGGCGCACGGGUGAGUAACACGUAUGUAACCUGCCCUCUGCAGGGGGAUAAGCGGAAGAAAUUCCGUCUAAUACCGCAUAAUACAAUUUGGAGACAUCUCCGGGUUGUCAAAGGAGUGAUCCGGCAGAGGAUGGACAUGCGGCGCAUUAGCUAGUCGGCGGGGUAACGGCCCACCGAGGCUACGAUGCGUAGGGGUUCUGAGAGGAAGGUCCCCCACACUGGUACUGAGACACGGACCAGACUCCUACGGGAGGCAGCAGUGAGGAAUAUUGGUCAAUGGGCGGAAGCCUGAACCAGCCAAGUCGCGUGAGGGAAGACGGUCCUAUGGAUUGUAAACCUCUUUUGCAGGGGAGCAAGGCGCGGUACGUGUACCGCGAAGGAGAGUACCCUGAGAAAAAGCAUCGGCUAACUCCGUGCCAGCAGCCGCGGUAAUACGGAGGAUGCGAGCGUUAUCCGGAUUUAUUGGGUUUAAAGGGUGCGCAGGCGGACUGUUAAGUCAGCGGUAAAAAUGUCGGUGCUCAACACCGGCCGGCCGUUGAAACUGGCAGCCUUGAGUGAGCGAGAAGUAUGCGGAAUGCGUGGUGUAGCGGUGAAAUGCAUA
This 640-nucleotide ribosomal RNA is filed under the name uncultured bacterium. RNAcentral describes it as "bacterial SSU rRNA". It matches the Rfam family "Bacterial small subunit ribosomal RNA", at positions 64 to 692 of the family's 1533-position model. The record is from RNAcentral.